GAUUUAAAUGACAUUUUUCU
RNAcentral lists this small nuclear RNA (20 nucleotides) under Arabidopsis thaliana (thale cress). RNAcentral's name for it is "snRNA_06551". Lineage: Eukaryota; Viridiplantae; Streptophyta; Magnoliopsida; Brassicales; Brassicaceae. The record is from RNAcentral.